This is a long non-coding RNA of Thalassophryne amazonica, 95 nucleotides long. RefSeq lists it as uncharacterized. The transcript has 3 exons. The record is from RefSeq and is a predicted model, not a curated record. NCBI's taxonomy places the organism in Eukaryota, Metazoa, Chordata, Actinopteri, Batrachoidiformes, Batrachoididae.
AGCAGACAAACAUGAUGUGGGUGAUGUUUACGUUGGGUUGUUUUGGUUUACAAUAAAUAAAAUUCAUCUUUUACACUUCACAUGUUUUUUCAUGA